UCCUUCGUCGUCUUCAUCUCUUCAUUCUCUAAAAAAAACCUAAUCCACCAUGGAUAUUGGCGAUUCAGCUCCCCAAACUCCACCAAAAUGAUCCCACGGAACCACUAGAGCACCCUCAUACUGAAUCCAUGAACCACUUCCCUCAAAUCCUCCUUAAAUCUCUCAAAUCUUGAAUCCAAAAUUAGAAUUUCUAAGAACCAAGCCCAAGUCCAAGCAUGCAAGGUGAUUGCUCCAGUCUUCUUAAGAGUUUAGAGUUGAUUUUGUCGUGAAAUAGUGUUGUUUUCUUUUUCUUGACAAAGAAAGCGGUCAAUAUUAUCUAGCGAUGAAAUCAGAAAGUCAGGAUCAAAGUCAAG
This 353-nucleotide long non-coding RNA is filed under the name Nicotiana benthamiana. RNAcentral's name for it is "long non-coding RNA (NBEN_LNC031377)". The record is from RNAcentral. Lineage: Eukaryota; Viridiplantae; Streptophyta; Magnoliopsida; Solanales; Solanaceae.